AACGAACGCUGGCGGCAGGCCUAACACAUGCAAGUCGAACGAAGUCUUCGGACUUAGUGGCGCACGGGUGAGUAACACGUGGGAAUAUACCUUACGCUGGGGGAUAACAUCGGGAAACUGAUGCUAAUACCGCAUACGCCCUUCGGGGGAAAGAUUUAUCGGCGAAAGAUUAGCCCGCGUCCGAUUAGCUAGUUGGUGAGGUAAUGGCUCACCAAGGCUCCGAUCGGUAGCUGGUCUGAGAGGAUGACCAGCCACACUGGGACUGAGACACGGCCCAGACUCCUACGGGAGGCAGCAGUGGGGAAUAUUGGACAAUGGGCGCAAGCUUGAUCCAGCCAUGCCGCGUGAGUGAUGAAGGCCUUAGGGUUGUAAAGCUCUUUCACCCACGACGAUGAUGACGGUAGUGGGAGAAGAAGCCCCGGCUAACUUCGUGCCAGCCGCCGCGGUAA
This 449-nucleotide ribosomal RNA is filed under the name uncultured bacterium. Its description in RNAcentral is "partial 16S ribosomal RNA". It matches the Rfam family "Bacterial small subunit ribosomal RNA", at positions 29 to 523 of the family's 1533-position model. The record is from RNAcentral.